This 500-nucleotide ribosomal RNA is filed under the name uncultured bacterium. Its description in RNAcentral is "partial 16S ribosomal RNA". It matches the Rfam family "Bacterial small subunit ribosomal RNA", at positions 28 to 523 of the family's 1533-position model. The record is from RNAcentral.
GAUGAACGCUGGCGGCGUGCUUAACACAUGCAAGUCGAACGAAGCACUUUAUUUGAUUUUCUUCGGAAACGAAGAUCUAGUGACUGAGUGGCGGACGGGUGAGUAACGCGUGGAUAACCUGCCUCACACUGGGGGAUAACAGUUAGAAAUGACUGCUAAUACCGCAUAAGCGCACAGUACCGCAUGGUACGGUGUGAAAAACUCCGGUGGUGUGGGAUGGAUCCGCGUCUGAUUAGCCAGUUGGCGGGGUAACGGCCCACCAAAGCAACGAUCAGUAGCCGACCUGAGAGGGUGACCGGCAACAUUGGGACUGAGACACGGCCCAAACUCCUACGGGAGGCAGCAGUGGGGAAUAUUGCGCAAUGGGGGAGACCCUGACGCAGCGACGCCGCGUGAGCGAUGAAGUAUUUCGGUAUGUAAAGCUCUAUCAGCAGGGAAGAAAAAAAUGACGGUACCUGACUAAGAAGCCCCGGCUAACUACGUGCCAGCAGCCGCCGCAG